UACGUAGGGUGCGAGCGUUGUCCGGAAUUAUUGGGCGUAAAGGGCUCGUAGGCGGUUUGUCGCGUCGGGAGUGAAAACCUCGGGCUUAACUCGGGGCUUGCUUUCGAUACGGGCAGACUAGAGGUAUGCAGGGGAGAACGGAAUUCCUGGUGUAGCGGUGAAAUGCGCAGAUAUCAGGAGGAACACCAGUGGCGAAGGCGGCUUCUGGUCCAUAACUGACGCUGAGGUGCGAAAGCGUGGGGAGCAAACAGG
Molecule: ribosomal RNA, 252 nt
Filed under: uncultured bacterium
Lineage: Bacteria
Description: partial 16S ribosomal RNA
Rfam family: Bacterial small subunit ribosomal RNA
Source: RNAcentral